This 42216-nucleotide long non-coding RNA is filed under the name Elaeis guineensis (African oil palm). Its description in RNAcentral is "long non-coding RNA (EGUI_LNC005568)". The record is from RNAcentral. Lineage: Eukaryota; Viridiplantae; Streptophyta; Magnoliopsida; Arecales; Arecaceae.
GAUCUGGAUCUCGACCUUAAAAGACAAUUGUUUACAGCUCAGGGAAAAGUUCAAAAAUCAAGGGUAUCAUAUUUGGUGGCAAAGGAAAAAAGCAAGAGGAAGGAGAACAAUAAUGACCAUGGGAAGUCAGUGGUUGGAACAUGAUGUAUGAACGUUCUUAAGCAUCGAAACUUCAGGAGUUCAAUCUGAUAUUGGAUUCAGUUGUUUGAGUCUGUUCAAGAGUUCACGUGAAGUACUAGUAUUCGAUUAUUGUAGGCAAUCUAUGUUAAGAAUUAGCAACCUCUUAAUCCCAAGUCCGUCAUGUUGGUGUCAUUAUUUUUGUGGCCCAGGGUGCAGGCAUUAAUUCUUGUUGCUGAAUUAAUUAUGCAUGGAGACCAUUGCUUGUAACUUUCUCCUUUUCUUUCCUAGACUUAACUCUAACUUUUCUUUGACGAGGAGAGAUAUAUGCAGCAACGAGACCAUCACAUGAUAAGAAUAUUUCAUUGUAAUUGCAUAGAUUGGUCGGUCGGUUGGUGAGUGGGGUCCACAACAAAACUAAUUCUUCUCAUGGUCCGGCAAAGGUCUAAAGGUCUAGGUGAUGCAUUCCUCGUCUUCUUUAGAAUGGACCUGUCAUAAUAUCUGAUCGAUUUGUAAUUAACUAAGUCUAGCCAAAGAACAUGGCAUAAGUCAUUUGCGGCCAUAGCUACGUCUGGCCUUAUUUGUACCCACACGAAGCUGGUGCCAUAUAAUCUUGGAUUGGAUUUUUUUUUUUUUUUUAAUACUUGUAAUGAUGGUUAUACAAAACCUUAAAUUAUGUACAACCACUCAAAUCAAUCACUAUAAUAUCUCGGAAGUAUCCGGAUAUAGCAGAAGAAGCCUCCAAAUAUAGUGCUAUCAUGAUUGACCACUUAAAUAGCAAUCCAAUCAACAUUAUUAUUAAUUUUUUUAUAGAUACGCAUGAGCCUUCAAAUAUCUGCUCGCAAAGAAUGACCACCCCUAAGUGCUCUGCUUCUGUGCCAUUUUAUGACUAUGAGAUAAGUAUAGAGUCCCCUUCCACACUUAAACUGGCAUAAGCCCUGUCUUCAUCCGAGUCGCGUCACUCGGCGGUCCUUAGAGUAUCUACCACCUUCGAGGUCCUCAAUUUACUUGCUUAUUUGCAGUGUUUUAGAGCUCAGAGCAAUGCGAAUCGUGCACUCAGCCAAAGUUCAGCGGAGGACGAGACCACGGGCACCACGUCAUUCACGUGAGGGACGCGGACAACAGGGCGGGAGAUCUGGACCAUUCGUUGAGAGAAUGGACGGCCUGGAGCUGAUCCGGCUCGGGUCUCCGACCCAGAGCUGGGACCACGCUUGGAUGCGGCAGGGCUCGCUCACAACAUACCUACUGAUCGAAUUAAUUAAUCGAAAUAGACCAACGGCUUUCACCGAGCGCAGCGAAGUCACUGAAACGCCACCGUAGAGGCGACCGGUGGGAUGGAAUUUUAGCUAACUUCCAUAUGGAUGGAGAGUUAUCACAUUUUACUCAGAUUUCUCACUGCAAAGUAACAUCACAUCAUGUGGAAUAAUUUGGAUGAGUAGAAAAAUAUGUAUUUGUGCUUCAAUUACCUAUGCAUCUAUUAGAAUUUAUAUAUAUAUAUAUUUUGGACCUAGCCCGUACACUCCGUGAUAUCCAUUGACUAAAUAUUUUUGUUUGUUGUUUUAAAGAAAGGAAUCGAAUGAUGAUGCAUAGACAAGUCUACUAUAAAAUAUAGAGGAUAAAACAAAGACGUGAUGGGCUCUAGAUUCUUGGGGACUACAAUAAAUUUAGCCAGCCAAUGUCAAAAAUUCCAAAGUAUUUAAAAAAUAUGUAAAUUAACAUCAAUUAUUUGUUAAUUAACAUCAUCUUAUCUUUAUUUUAAGUCAUGACGCCUGAAAAGUUCAGAAACGCUGCAUCUCGACAGGAUUUACCAUUAACAUAUGAUAGCCUUUUGAGAUCCAGCUGGAACAAGUAGAGCCUUUGCUCUCCGAUACCAAUCUCUCUUAUCAAAUACCUUACAUGUAACAUCUUUAGACAUUAUUGGGAAACAACAGUCAAGCACAUAACAAAUAUGUCACCUUUCAUCUCAAUACAUUAUGAGAAGCAAAAAAAAAAAAAAGAACCCUUUGAUUUUGUGUUUCGCUAAACUCCACUUGGAGUACAAACCUCCAUCCUCGCAUAUUUCCUUCAUCCAUUUUUAAUAUAAUUAAGUAACCGGAACAAGAGCUACAUGGAGAUGAGAAGAAGUUUUGAUUCGAACUGCACCUAGAUUUCCGGCGAUAAAAUCUAUCCCAUGGGAACAAAAUUUCAAAUCCAGUAAUCCCAAAACCACGACUCUAAGCUUUCUUAAGCCAUCUCCACUUACAAAAUUCCCAAAAGAAGACAAAUAUAUAUAUAUAUAUAUAUAAUAUAGCUCCGAAAUUCCCAACAUACCCCUCGUGAAGCAAUUAUUUUCUGUUACUCCUCGUCUGCCUGGGUGCUCCGCUGCUGCUGCCUCGACGAGCAUAACGGGAAGAGCGGGAGGAGCUCCGGCGGGUCCGAUCCCCGGCCGCCGUCCCGCGGCGAGGGGUGGAGAUAAAACCCCUUCUCCGCGAUCGCCCGCUCCUCUUCCGACGCGGGCGAGAACAGCGGGUCCGACCCCAGGGGGGUUACAGGACUCGGGACUGGAGACUUCAAGGAGCCAGCGGCGGGAGAGGAGGAGGCGGAGGAGGGAUGGUGGAUGUGGUGAUGGUGGAGCUGGGGCGGGGGGGAACGGGGAGAGCGAACAGAGGUGAGGCCGAGCUGGAUCUCGAGCUUGCGGAUGCUCGGGCCGCGGCGCUCCUGCAGCUUGAAGGGCUGCCGUCGGGGAGCGACGGCGGUCGGCGAAGUCCGCGCCGGGGAGGUUGCGGGGAGGUCUCCGGCGGCGGUGGCGCCGGUGAGGCGCUGGACCAGGUCGCGGAAGGUGUUGGCAUCGGCCUGAACGUAGGUGGUGGGCGGCCCCGCCGCAGCGGUGGCGGGUCUGGUGUUAGCCGGCCUCUCCAUAGUUUUCUCUCUUAAGGGUUUGAAGUUUAAUAAAUAUAUAUAGAGAAAAAUAGGGGUGGGAUGGGAAGAAAAGGUUUACAGAGUGAUCGGAAAUAACCGAAGAGCGAAGGGUUUAUGAAAGAGAGAGGUGGGACUGGGAGGUGGGUAGUCACGGGAGCUCGUAUUUUCGGGGCUUUUUCCCCCUCCUUUCCCUCCCUCUCCGCUGGGUUCGUGCGUAAGAACAUGGAAGAGGGUAGAGAAGAGCGUCUUGGUGUAUGGUUUUUGUGAGGAAGGGUUGGGACUUGAGGGAUUUUGUGUGAGUUGGGUGAUCCCAUCACCGCUUGGUACUUUCACCUGUGCUUAGAUUUUUUUUUUGCCCCCCUCAUCUUGAAAUUGUUCGAAAUAAAUAUUUAUAGGAUAAAACGUCAAGAAUUUAUAUGAGAAAAUAAAUCUGAAAAAAUAAUGUAUAAGAAAAGAAUUAGAAACCUAGAAAACCUGUAUUGAAGACAUGCUAGAUAUUAUUCCAAGAGGUUAUUACUACUCUAAGAUCGAUAGCUUUAAUAUUGCUACUAAGAUACAACUGAUCCUCGGCACUGCAAGAGCAUCUGGAAGAUUUGGCCUGAUAGACUGUUUCAAUUACCCAAAAUUAAUUUUUGUAAAUUUAUAAAAAUAAGAAAAAAAAAUAAUGGUAAUAGAACUAGUGGAAAAGUAGACGAGUCAAGAAUAGUCAAAACAUAGCAGAAAAGAUGAGAGUGGGAGAUGGCUAUGCAGGAAGAGAGAGCUUUUUAAUCUGUAGCAUUGAAAGUGUGGACCAUGGGCUUUAUUUAGAAAUUGAUCAAAUAACAACUCUAAUGGCUAGUUGUUGGCACAUAAAGGGUGCAAUAAGUAUCUAGGGAGGUUAUUAGGCAUUAUAUGGUGACGGAGAUUGUUAUUACGUAUUUUUUUAUUUUUUUUAUUAUUUUCUAUAGCACGAAAGAAUUGAUCUACAUCGUCAAUUGAUGGGAGUAUUAUGGAUAAUAAUAGGUUAAGGUUGACAACUAGUUUUAUAUUUUUAUAUUUUAUUUUCAAUUUUAGCCGGAUCCUCGCCAAUAGAAUCUUAAGGAAUCUCUUGAUCUCUCCUUCACGCUCAAUUUUUUGAUGAUGAAUAAACUGAUUCUUAAAGAUGAGUCUUACACGACUAAUACUGCGAUAGAAAUCGAAUAGCGGCAAAACUCCAAAGCCUUCAAUAGUUAUUGAUCCCAAGCUAGGAUUUUCGAAAUUUGUAUUUUAAUUAGGUCCAUCUCAAGAGCGGAUGAAAACCUAUGGUGUGGAACUACAUAUUCAGCACCAUCUCUGCUGCUAAAUGUGUUAUCUACUAACAAAAGAUGAUGAGCUUGAGAAAUGCACCAUCAUGAUGGAGGAGGCACGAAUAAGAAUAGAGGGAUAGAAGAGCAACAAAGCAUUGUCAUGUAUGAGAAUAUGAAAGUCAGUACAAUAGAGACGAGAGAGUCAUAAACAAUAGUGGGGUGAAAGAAGGGGUCCUGGCUAGGUGGGGGUGGAGAUAGAAGGCAGAGUUGUCAAUAAGAGAGGUAGAAAAGAUAAAAAGUAAGAGAGAUAAAUUUGAAAAUAUGAGAUUUUGAAUUUAAUUGUAAUAAAUAAAAUAUAGUAAUAUAUACUACUAGUUAUCCGGUCAUUCACCUCAAGCUAUUCAAUUUUAAACAGAGACUAGAUAUAUGAAAUGGUAUGGAAAAAAAAAAUACACCAUAACAAAGUCCAUGCUAUUAUUAUUUCCUUUUAAUGGCUAAUGUGAUCAUCCAGGCCUUUCCAAAAGCUAGCUUAAUAAAUAUUGUGAUCAAAAUUAAUUUAAACAUAAAAAUAGAUAUCAAAAUAAUUUUGAAACUAUGCAAAAUAAUUAAAAGCAAAAGUCAAGUUUCCACACAUGGGCAUCCUAAAAGUCCACGUAUUCAACUAAUAACCCCUAGUUAGAAAAAUAUUAAAUGCAACUCUACUCGCAUCAAUUUAUCAAAUAUGGUACUAAAGACUACUAAACGUGUUAGGACAAAUGCUUUAAUGAUCGAACCAUUCCAACCAAAAAUCAGAAAGAUAUUUAAAUAAUUAAAUGUUAUCUUACACAUCUAGCCAUUUGAUGACUAGAUCUGCAUAUCUAGCAAACAACAGAACUAAAAAAAAGAAAAUUCUCUGAUAUGAUAGAACAACUAAUCAUCAUCACAAACUGCAGUUAUGAGACAAGAUAGGAUCAGUGCCUAAAUUAUCGUGGCUGGGGUUGUUUGUACAAGUUAAUUGCUGGGGAACCAAUGGGAAUCAUAUAGUCCAAAUCCCAAACUCAGCGACAAGAUUUCAAUGAUAUCGUACUCCAUUGCACUGGACCCUCAACUAUUAUAGGAUCUCUUAUUUACUUACCAUUUAAGCUAAGACAAUGAUUGUUAUAAAAUUAUUAUAAUAAAAAAUAUUGAGCUACAAUACGUAAUUAAAAAUAUUAUUUUUCUCAUUUACUAUUUAUUGACUGAAAAUGCUUUAAAUAUUACAAUCUAUUUUAAGCAAAGAUAUAAUGUAAAAAAAUAAAUUUCAGAAGAAAAAAUAUUUUAUUAGAAAAAAGUACAAAUGGAAAUAGCAAUUUUUUUUUUGUUGUGACAGUGUAUUAUCCUUGGUCCUACUAUUCUCCUCCUCCACCUCAUCAUCAUCAUCAUUACAUUAUUAUUAUUAUUAUUAUUAUUAUUAUUAUUAUUAUUAUUAUUAUUAUUUAAGUUUUAUAUAUAAAUCAAAAUAAAAAGUCUGAAACUAUUAUAAUAGUUGUUGUAAUCUUUUUCUUUUUUUUUAUUAGGAGGGGCUAUUAUCUCCGUUCCUUUUAUUUUGUACUCAUCCCAUUUUUGAUGGUUAAGCCCAUCCAAAAUCAAGCCCUUGACCUCUUGCCCAAGUGGCCAGAUGGAGCAAGUGCUUGAAUGUGGCCAUUAUAACAUAUGGAAAUUAUUAUUGUAACCAUGCUCGGUUGGGAUGCCACCUUCCGUCAGGCCUAAGACAAGGGAUGAGACAUUUGUCCCAUCUUUAUCUCUAGAAUAAAUACCAAAUAGAUCAAAAAAUGGGAUGGGACUUUUUUUUUUCGUAAGCACUGGGGUGGAUCUAUUGAUCUCUAACAUUUCCAUCAAAACAAGGACCAUGAAUUAGGGUUAUCCUCAUUUUUGUUCCAGCUAAAACAAAGAGAAAAAAACUUUUUUGCAAGUACUAAAUAUAAGGAGGAGGGCAAUUUUGUCCUUUUAACCAAAAAUAAGUUUUUAGGUAGGAUAACAAAAAAUAAUUAUUAUAAUGUCAAAGGUAGUAUAAUGAAAUAUAAUCAUGAAAUGGAGAUAAAAACGAUUCAUUCAAAUAAAAAAUAAUCUUAUGCUGGAGAUAAUGUUACCUAUUGGUGAUCAAACAUCUUAUUACCCAAUUGUUUAUCUCUUUAAUGAAGAAGGUUCAAAGGAUCUAAUUUUCAUCUUUUUGAACUAGCUAAAAUAUAGAUGGGAAUCUUAUAUCCUUAUCAUGAGUAGCAUAGAAUUGCUCAAAAUCUCAAAUCGCAACAACAAUGUGUGUGUGCGUGUGUGUUUCUUCCUUCUCUUCUUUGAUGUGUUUUAAAGAGUAUUGCAUUUGCAAACAAACGUUUGAAAAAUGUGACACAUCAUUUAUUAGUUUUUCAAUAAAAAUGACCAAGCACUAAAUUAGCUGCAAACGUGCUCAUAUUAAGUAGCAGUUCUUGGUUUUCCCCUAUAAACAUGGCUCAUUUUUUUGUUAAUAGGGCCAAACUAGCAUUCUAAUAGUUUUUCUGGUUGAGUUCAGAUCUUCUGAUGUUUAUGUUUAAACUGGAGUGGUCUAGUUUAGGUCACCAGACAUUAAUGUAUUUUGCAAUUAUUGGUGGUCGUACAAAAUCUUGGUAUACGUAUUUCCAAUCGUUCAUUGUUGCAUGAUACCUGAUGAUGGGUGAUUGAACAGGACCCCUCCAAUUAUUGGAGAUGGUUCGAGUUAUUUCUCGUAGGUUUUCUUAUCAGCGAAGUCAUUGCUUGAUUAGCUAGCUUACAUGUGGAAAGUUUGCUUUGAUGUUAAUAAUCACAAACUAUCAAUCAAUUUAUUGAGUGAUAAUUCAAUCAAAAACGUUUCACAUCCAUCCUAUGUGGUGGGGAAUGAGAUUCUCUAUGGCAUUUAAAAAAUAUCAUACAUGAUUAGGUGUCAUACAUCAUAAAAUUGACAGCUAUUCAAAAUAUCCAAAUAUUUUUGGGUUUAUACAUUUCUUUCUUUUUAAUUUUUUCUAACGUGUGCGCAUGCGGUCGUCCAUCUUAAAAUAGAUGAUGUCCAACCAUGCAUAAUAUUUUAUGGUAUUUUUUAAGUACUGCAGAGAAUCUACACCCAUGUGAUGAAGCAAGUUUAAGAAUCAAAUCAUGUUAUUAUGGAACAUUUAGUUAUUUCCUCCCUAGUAAUCUCGUAAAUGGACUGUCCCAAAUUUGAUAAAAGAAUGCCCGGAUGUUAGCUCGAAACUUUGAUCACACAGUUCUGAUUAGCUCUUUCUAAAAAGGAAGAAGUGAUCCGUUAGCGAGGAGCUAAGCUACGGAACAAUAAGAUCUAUCAGCAUGUAUAAUGCUGUCAAGAAGUAAGCAGUUUAUUUUAAUUUAGUUUCUAAGCAGGCAGCUUAUUUUUCUAAAACUAGAAGUAGAAUCAUACUCAAUACACUAUCUUCUAGUCCUCGAUGACAUAUCGGCUCACUCUAAUGUGUCUCUUUAUGUCAAUAUAUAUUAUAUAUAUAUAUAUAUAUAUAUAUGGUAUAUUGGCAUUGGUAUUUAUGAUGAGGUAAGUCAGAACUCUCAGUGCUAAGAUUUUGCUGAAUCCUUUCAGCUCUCUUCAUUGAAAGAAAUAAUAGUCUUCACUCAAUUCUUCCAAAGUCUUCUUUCUUGCUUUUCAGCAUUUCUAUUUCUACUAUUGAUUUUCAAGAUCCCGACUGAUUUAAUCAUCAGAAAGUAUUCCAUCAGAUCCAGGACUUCUUUUACAGAAUUUUUUAUGCACUUCACCAAACUGCAUUUAGAAGUACUCAACCGACCUUAUCAUCUAUCUUCUGGAGCCUUGCGACAUCACAAUGAUAUUUUUAAAAUUUUAUUUACAUGAUUUCUAUUUUCAAUGAUGUUUUACAAAUAUAAUCUUUUGGAUGUAAAAGUCAUCUAAUUAUAGGGGAUUCAAGUAGUGCUCAAUUUUAUCUUUUUUAAACUCAUCCAAAUAAAAUUUAGGAAGCAUAAUUUCUAGAAUAUGAUAUCAAAGUACCAAUAAAACUUUUCAAAUGGCCUCUCAAGGAGAAAAGUAUACAAAAAAGUUCUGAAUAGAAGGAGUCAAAAGUGAUAUUUUGAUAUAAAAUGCUCCAUUUCUUUUGAACUUUAUUAUUUUAUUUUAUUUUAUUUUAUUUUAUUUUAUUUUAUUUGAGAUUUCAAUUCUUUGGUCUAGUUGACCUGAGUUCUUUGCUGCACCAUGAGCUUGUGACCAUUCUCAAAACUCCAAAUUCUCUAACUCAUGCUCACGAUAUACAACACAAGUAUUGGUAAGUCGUUAAUCGUAAUUCUCUCAAUGUUACCGAAAGAACUAGUCCCGGCAUUAGCAUUGCUAGGGCUAGCUCAAAGGACCGGUUCAAAAAUAAUGCAUGCAAUGUUACGUAUAAACCCUUAUAUAAUGUAAAUAUUACAUUAUUACCAAGUUCUUCUGCGCAUGGUGCACGGACCUCUUAAUCCUGGUCCGUCCGUUGGACGGUCACUAUACUGUUCCCACCCUUUUGGCUAAUCGAACACCAUAUUUUCUCUCCUCCGCCGCUAGAACCACAAUGCGAUACGAUCCUUCGCGGGACAGCGGCAUCCGAGUCCGUCAACUGGUGGAAGGCGAAUAAGAAAAGAAGAGAGCGAAGCCGGAGAGCGGCAACCCCAAUGGCGAUUUCCUGCUGUUCCUCUCCCAAAUCCCUUCUCCCGUCUCUUCCUCUCAGAGGGCGAGGACGAAGAGGAGACCGCGCCGCCCCUUCCAGAAUCUUCUGGAAGGCGCCCGAGCCCGUCGUCAGGGCGUCCACGGUCGAUUCCUUCGAGAGCUCCGCCAGCUUCGCCAAGCGGAUGGAGCGGGCGUGGCUCAUCUCUCAGGUAUCAUCCCCUCUCUUUAUAUCUCGUUCCUGGUUCUAAGGUUCUUGUUUGGAUCGCGUUUAUUGGAAAAAAGGAGAGAUUUUAUGUGUUUGAUGUGGUUUUUAAUGUUCUCUAUCUUGAUUGAAAGAUCUAGGGUACCUCAUUUGAUAAAUCCUAUUGGACUUAAAAUUUUCAGAAAGAAACAAAUUUGUGGUAUAAUCCAGUCGAGUAUAGCAAUAUGAUAGGGUUAAGAAGUUUACGUGGAGGUUCAUCGAUUAAUUCUUAAAUGGAUUCUACCUUAAGCUUCCCUUGAAAUGUCAAUGUAUUAUUUAUAUCCAAUGUUGAUAUCUACAAAUCAAUUUCUUGGUGGAAAUUUUGCAAUCUAAAAUGAAAUUUGAUACUAAACGACCCAAAUGAUUUGGAAAAAUGACUUUUAUCAACUAGGGAAACCAAACUGGAACCAAAAAUCAGAUAGCUAUAUAGUUCUAUAGGCUCUUUUUAUCCGUGUUGUUUUAUGGUAAUUAAUUUUGACAUAUUCAGCAUCAUUAGACAGAGUUAUGAUUUUCAACAAAUCAUUUUGAAUCACUAUCUGCACUCCAUGCUAGUUUUGGAUUCUAUGCAGUUCUGCUAUCUCUAGCUAGUUGCGUUACUAGCUACAAUCGCUGCUGGUGAAAUGGGUAUGUGGAUAUUUGACUGCAUGCUUAUGUGAUUUGCUGUCAAGUGAUGCAACUAAAAAUAUGUUUAGUUUUGAAUUUGUGCUCAUACAUGGAUAAAAACUUGUUAAAAACUGAAAGUGUUUUGGAUAAGGGUUAGGAAAGAAGGCCAGAUAUGGAGCUCACAAUCAAUAAGCUCCCAAGAUCAAGAUAAAGAAAACUUCAAGAAAAUGAGAAGGAAGAUGACCAAAAUUUUAUCUUUUCCACUGUUGUUCAAAAAUGGUAAAAGAAAUACGGAUAUAGGGAAGAGAAUAGAGGGGGCACUGGAUAGGACGCUGAUGGUUCUUUUUUUCCUUUGCCUUAUGUUCUUUCAUUAUUUUUCCUCCAUCUUCUUUGUAUCCUUUUCUUUCUAUUUCCUUUCCUUUUCUUCCUUCUCUCCUUCUUCUUUUCCUCCAUUUUCUCCUAAUGUGUAAAGGCAGCUGGUCCUUCCUAUUGAUCCGUGAAUCAUAGAAGGGUUGGUCCCUCUUUUUUUUUUUUUUUGGUUAUAGAAGAGGUGGAUGGGUACAUCCAGCUACACCACUGCUGCUGUGGAUUAUUGGCUUGCUGAUCUUGAAGAAGGACCAAAUUAAAUAAAUUACAGAGCAUCCUAUCAUCUAAUAUCAAAUUUCAACUUUUCACUUAAGUUAAAACUCAUUAACACCGAGGAUAUUUAAGAAAGAGAUAGAGAAAAAAAAGGAAAUCCCACAGGCCAAAAGAGACAGAAAGUAAUGGUCAGUAUAGCCCCCCUAGGCUGUUUUUCUCCUCCUUUCAAUUCAGUUAUGCAAUAAACUAUCUUGAUAGUGUCGUGCAUUCAUCAUCGGUGUCAUUUUGUCCAAUCUGGACCCCACUAGUUUAGAAACAGCUAUAUAGGAACAAUCAUUUUGCUUAACAAAGUCUUAUAGGGGCCUCAAAGCACCAUAUUGUCAUUGGGAGGUUAAACAGCUUUAAGCAUUGUAAUUGUGAUGUUAUAAGCAUUCAAUUUAUAUUUGAGCACCAUAUCCCCUAUUGGCUGUUUAAGAAGUAUAAAGCAUUCAGGUCAGUUAAUUGCAUAUAGGAGAAUGCCAAUUAAUCGAAAGCUAUUUAUUUUCGUCAAAUAAUGGGAUCAUGAAUUAUGAUUUCUCAAUCAAUAUGGGUUCGCAGGGGCUUAUUAGGAUAAAAUAUAUUUGAUGGAAGUACUCAAUAAUUUGAAAUGAUAUAUUUGAAGUAGAAUAAAAUUUGAUUGAUGAUGAUGAUGAUAAAAGCUGUACUUAAUAGCGUAAUGAAUGACCAGAUGCAUUCAUGUGGUGUGAAAGCUUCCAAGGCUCAAUUGUUUCCUCUUUAACACCAUGAAAAGCUAAAUGAAUGUCUAGUGGGGCUUGCAUAUGUGUAAGCCACACAUGUAUUAUAUAGAGUCAGAUUUGCAUUAAGCAUUAGUUCUAUAUUAAAGCAAAAUUAACCAGAUCAUAGAUAAACAUGAACUUGUUGUAUUAUAUACUAGGUCAUCACUUGAAGGUUAUGCACAAUAAAUAAAAGUUAGUCCCAUGUUUUUCUUCCCUUCUGCAAUUAGUUUGGCAAUGAUUACUGAAACAAGUAAAUUAAACUUGCUGAUGUUUGAUUGUCAGUACUUCAAAGGGAAUGGACUUUUGUGGUAUUUUCAGCUGACAUCUGCUUUUUGAUAGUAAGAAUGGUCAGCAUUUGGAAAUAAAAUGGAUUGAGAGCUUGAGCUAGUACAUUGGUCAUAUUUCUCAUGAAGAUAUUGUUAUCAUCUUUCAUUGAUAGUUAUCACACUUUUCUUUCCGUCGAUUUUCCUUUAUUAUAGUUGAUAUUGCUCUUUGAUGGGAGAGACUAGUAUCAUUGUUUUAGUAGUUGAUAUUUGAUCAAUCUACAAAAUCUUACACCUUGCAAUUCGUUAUAGGCUUAUGUGCCAGUUGCAAUGCAGGUUUGUGUGGUUUAGGAUGUAGGUGAACUUCCUAAUUCUCAUUAGCAAUCUCGUCUAAGUUUCAUUUACCUGAAAAUGCAUAAUAAUAAAUUUAACUUAUGAAGUGGCUUUGAAGGAAAGAUGCUCCAGAAAGGGAACUUCCUCUCCAAAGUCAAAUUAAUUUCCUCCUUGUGGGUUAUAAAUGCAGUCCAAGAUAGGGCAUUGUGUUUAAUGUUUAGCGAUGUGAAGGAUAUUAAAAAAAAAAAAAAAAGAAACAAGGGAGACAUUUAUAUGAGGCUUCAGGGGAGAAUGAAAAGGCGAUGCACGUCCAGCGAGGGGGGACUGUAGAGAGAGUGUGGGAGAUUGAGUGUGUUCUCUUUUUGCAAUGGGAAUUAUGAUACUAGCAUAAGAGGGUGCGUCUGGCUAAAGGGAUUAACUGUAGAGGGAGUGUAGGGGAUUCAGUGGGUGCUCCUUUGCCAUGCGUGUUGUGAUACUAGGAUAAGAGGGUGCCUCUAGCUGAAGGGAUUAGUUAAGCACCAUGGAUGAGGAAAGCACUCAUAUGAGCCAUGAUAUUUAACAGGACUGUUUCCCUUUUAAAUUUUAUUAUUUUUUGUCCUCCAGUAUUGGUAACCUGAAUGAAUGUAACAUUUUUGAAUUUCUGCUUAGUUUGGUUGAUUCUUUUGUAAGAUCUGCUUAGCAGGAAGCAUCAGUAUGACCACAUGGUUUACCUUAUUAAGUUCUUUACCUCCAAUUGCAGUAUAAGUUUUACAGUACAUUUGAUUAAGAUUGCUCCCUUUAUUGUAGCACUAGCAUUGGUCACAUGUGAUGCAUGUGAGGACCAACAUGGAUGACUAAUAUCAAAGAUUAAGAUAUUUUAAGUUCUGUCAGACGAUACAUGCACUCCUAGUUUUACUUCUCUACUUUUCUCUUUUAAGUAAAGAGGGAAGGGAAAGAGUGAAGCCAAGAUGAGUGUGUUUUGUAAAAUUGUAUAUUUUCAAUACCUGUAGACAGUUGAACGCUUUGUUAGUCAGAUGGACUCAUGCAUCAAGAGUUUGCUUUAUAUUUGACAAUAAACUAUCUUAAUUCAAUUGGACACUCAGAACGAGUAAGGUUCUUAUAUAAUUUCUCUUAUUCUAGCUGCUGAACGCAAUCUGCUUGUUUAUUACACUAAUUCCUGUAUUAUGAGGUGAUUGGCUGAGAGUUGUUCCAGGAGAAGCAUGGAUAUUUGAUGCUUGUUUGAGAUCCUGCUCAGAUAUUAUUUAUGGAUCUUAAUUCUGCCUGCCUCUUGCGCUGCUUGACUUCCAGCUUAUUGGUGGAAAUUGAUGGUGUAGAAGAUGAAUUUUUUGGUCUCAAGAAAAUGGGAAUAUUAGAGAGGAUUGAGGGAGUACAGUUGAUUGAGAACUAUAUCUGCUUGCGAACGGACACAAUAACAGAAAACAAUGAGGGCGGUGUCCUUAGCUGAUGAUCCAAGGGCAUCCAUCAAGUUUUAAAACUCCAUACUUCUUGAAAAAUAAAAAAAUUUCAAUCUUUCUAUUAAGAAAUAUGCACGUAGCGCAUAGGCACUUUAUGCAAUUAUAUAUCUGUGUUGUGACUACCUUGAUUUCUUUGAUUCUUUACCUUCCUUAGUUUGAACCAUUUUUUCCUACAUGAUCUGUUGUGGUCCAUCUGAUAUUUAUUGUCAGACCUUGUGGAUUUUUCCUUUUAUGAACAGUUGAAAUCUGACUCCAUGCAGUUCAGCGCUAUGCAGUCAGAUUAUUUAGCCAGUAGUAUAGACUGUUAUAUGAAAUUAAUGCUGAGAAUUGUUUAAUCCCCCUGCCCCCAUAUACUUUUGGUGGAAUGAAGCACUGAUAUUCUUUUCAUAUAUUUACUCUGAGCAGCAACCACGACCGAUUGCUUGUUCAUCUUGCGAAUCAAAUGGCUACAUCGAAUGCAAAUGGUGUGGAGGUACAGGUUUCUUCAUCCUGGGCAACAACAUGCUGUGCGAAGUGCCUUCAAGAAAUACCACCUGUGUUAUAUGUGCGGGGAAGGUGAUGAAGUGUAGUGACUUUGAGAACCUUCACAUUUUUGUGCCCAAUAUCACAUUAAUAGACUUGAUUUUGUUUUCAUCUAGGGUUCUGCUUGCUGUCCUGAUUGCAAAGGCACCGGCUUCCGUGCCAAAUGGUUGGGAGAACCUCUGUCACCCCAAUAAUAACUCCGGCAUGGCAACUCGGAGGAUCUGCUGACUGCAAAGAACAAGUUUAUUUUUUCUAAGUAAGCUUGUGAGAGUCAUCAACAUGUGACGACUGUGUUCUUAUAGGCUGGAAAUCUUGUUAAUCAUACAACUUCAAUGGUGAUGGUAGGAAUAUGUUUAUUCCUUUAUAUUUUCGAAUUCUUGUUCCGAGUUAAUGUGGAGACAGCACUUACGUUACUCAAGAUGUUGAAUUGACAAUGCCUAACGUCUUUCUUUCUUCUUCUUCUUUUUUUUUUUGGUGGUUGUGGGGAGGAGGGUUGGGUGCAAGAGGUUCUAAUUUCUAAUGUAAUCUUAACCCAGUUCAGCCUCCUAACAAGGCCCGACCUUCUCAAGGCUUAAGACUCGAAGGCUAUUCGGAGAUGGUGAAAUUCUUCUUGCACCGCCGGUGGUGUCGAAAAUUCGAUGUGAAGUAUACCAUCUCAUUCGAUCGGUCCAUGUAGUCAUUAUUUUUCAACGCUCAUUUAAUAUUUGUAGAUUGAUUUUUUUAUUUAAAAAUUAUGUAUAGCAAAAAUAUUUCUAUCUUUUAAAAAAAUUAUGACAUUCUAUAUCCAUAUUAUGACAUCCUGCUUCCAUAAUACGUACAUGAUGUAAUAAUUUUUUUUAAAGAAUAGGGAUAUUUUUGUUAUUCAAAAUUUUUAAACUAAAAAAUCAAUCUGUAAAUAUUAAAUGCACAUUGGAAGUGGUUGGACAUAAAUAUAUCUCUCAUAUUAUGAUAUUUUAUGUCAUAUUAUGACAUUUUGGGUUGUAUUACGUCACAGAAUAUUAUAAUUUUUUUUAAAAGAUGGAGGUAUUUUCAUCAUAUAAAAUUUUUAAACGAAAAAGUCGAUCUGCAGGUAUUAAAUGUGCUUUGAAAAGUUGUAACUAUAUGGACCAAUCGAAUGAGAUGGUGCACUUCAUAUCGGAUUUUUUACACUGCCUGUGGUGCAUAAAGAAUUUCUCUUCGAAGAUGUUCGAUAGAGCUUGUCAAAGCUCAAGAGUCGAGGUUUAUUUGGAGACAUCUGAUGGACACUUUAGAAGCCUCGAGUAAAAAGAGAGUGGAUUUAGGGAGGUGAGCACCCCAGCCUCUUGCAUGAGCACAAGGUGUGCUCGGAUGGUUUAGAUGGGAAGGCAAAAGUAUGAUUAACUUCAGGCUAAAAUCCUAUUUAGGAUUGCUAUCGGGAGUAGAAUUUUGAAAAUUUUUAAAAAUAAAAUUUUUGAUAAAUAGAUAUUUGGAAGUAGAGCUUUAUCAAAAGGUUAUUUGUUAUUUAGUAAUUAUAUUUUUAAAAUGUAGUGGAAGAUGACAAAAUGCUUUUCAUAUGACAAAAUGACUCUAAAUGACAUUAUAUUAUGGUUCUAUUUAGGAUUACUAUUAGCAGUAGAACUUUUAGAGUUUUUGAAAAUAGAGUUUUUGAGAAGUAGAGCUUUUAAAAAUAAAAUUUUUAUAAAAAUCUAUUUGCUGAUUGGUAACCAUAUUUAUAUAAUGCUUUGGAACUUUAUCAUAUAUUUGGUAACUAAAAUAAAAAAAAUAUUUUUGAUAUGAUAAAAUGAUAAUAAAAGCAUUACAUAGUAUUAUACAGUAAAAAAUAAUAUAAUAUAAUAUAUUAAAAUAUUAUUAUACUAUAUAAUAUAAUGUAAUAAUAUAAUAUAAUAUAAAAUAUAAUAUAAUAUAUUAUAUUAUUAUAAUAUAAUUAUAUUAUAUUAUUAUUAAAAUAUUAUUAUGUUAUAUUAUAUUAUUAUAAUAUUAUAAUAGAUUAUAUCAUAUGUCUAUAACAUAAAUAUUAUUAUAUUUUAAAAUAUUAUUUUAUUGUAUAAUAUUAUUAAUAUAUAAUAUAAUAUAAUAUAUUAGAUUAUAAUCUAAUCUAAUAAUAAAUUAUAAUAUAAUAGAUUAUAUUACAAUAUUAUAAUAUUAUAAUAGAUUAUAUUAUAUAUCUAUAACAUAAAUAUUAUUACAUUUUAAAGUAUUAUUUUAUUGUAUAAUAUUAUGAUCAUAUAUGUAAUAUAAUAUAAUAUACACUAUAAUAUAAUAUUAUUAUAAUUAUGAUAUAAUAUAUAAUGUAAUAUAAUAUAAUGAAUUAUAAUAUAAUUUAAUAAUAAAUUAUAAUAUAACAAAUUAUAUUAUAUUAUUAUAAUGUAAUAAUAGUAUACUAUUAAUAAAUAUUAUUAUAUCAAAUUAUACUUUAUAAUAUAAUAAUACUAUAACAGAUUGUAUUAUAUAUUUAUAAUAUAUUAUAAUAUUAAUUUAUUAUUAUAUUAUAUUAUAUUUAUAGUAUAAUAAUAUAAUAUGAUUAAUUAUGAUCAAAUUUGUUAGUGGAUAUUUUUAUUAUUAAAAAAAAUUAUCUAAAUCAAAACAGUUUUUCAAUAUUAGCUAGAAAAUACUUUUGGAGAAAGCUUCAAAAUAGAGCUUUCUCCAAAUAGAUCUUUUCAGCUUGCUGACAAAGUCAAAGCAGCUUUUUGAUUUUUUAUCAAACAUUACUGUAUCACUCUAAAGUACUUUUUGAGGAUCAAAAAAUAUUUUAUGGUAUUCUAAAAGCUUAGCCAAACAGGACCAUAAUAUAUUAUAAUAGAGUGUAAUGCAAUAUAGUAUUAUAUGUAUUGCAUAGUAAAAUAUUAUUUAUAGUAUAAUAUUAUUUGUAAUGUAAUAUAUUGUGAUAUAUUUUUGCAAUAUAAUAUAAUAUUAUUAUCAUAUACUAAUGUAAUUUGUAUACAAUAGGAUAAUAAUAUAACAAAAUAUGAUAUAGUAUUGCACGUUUUUGCAUAGCAUAAUAUUAUUAUAAUGUAACAUAAUAAUAUCAUAUAAUAAUAAUACUAACAAUAAUAUUACAUAGUAUUAAUAUAAUAUAAUAUAAUGGAAUAUAUUAUUAUAAUAUAAUGAAAUAUAAUAUAAUUUUUUACUGUACAAUAUAGUAUAAUAAAUUUUGAUAUGAUGUGGGGGUAUAGCAUAUUGAUAAUAAGAUUUUUUACAUGUAUAUCCUUUCAAAUAUUUAAAUUUAUAUAAAUAUUUUUUUAAAAUUAAUAUCUGUAUGUAUAUCCUCAUAAUAUAUUUUUUUUACAUAUAUAUUCAUAUCAUCUAAUACCGUUAAAAAUUAAUGAUUUAAAAUUAAAAUAACUAAAAUAUCUUCAUGGAUAGAUGUAUAAAAUUUUUUUUAUUAAGAUAUAUAUGUAAAUAGUAAUUUUAUGAGGAUAUUCAUGCAAAUAUAAAUAUUUAGAAGGGUAUACAUGCAAUAAAUCUUUAACUUAAAUACACCUCUCUUGGAUUGUUAAUUUUUUUCUUAUUCUAAUAAAAAAAUUAAUAUAUAUAACUAAAAUAAUAAAUUUAUUUAAUUUAUUAAUUUAUAUAAAUAAAAUAAUCUUUUUAUUGAAUAAUAGAUCAAAAUUAUCUUAUCUAAAAAAUAACCAGAUCAUAACUAUCUAUAUUUCCUCUAGUAUAUAAUAAUAUGUUUCUAAAAAAAAUAUCUAAACUUGAUAUUAGAUGAAUAGCUUGUACAUUUACAUAGAGUGAACAUAGUUGUGGAUUUAGACAUUAUGUAAUAAUAAAAAUUUAUAAUCUUAUUAUAUUUUAUUUUAAAAUUUUUUAUUAAAAAUAUCUUUGUGAAGUAUAUAAGGUAUAUCAUGUUGUUAUAAAAUAGAUAUAUCAUUCCCAUCUUGCAUAAAAAUAAAAUAUAAUAUAGUAUCCUAAUAUAUAAAAUAUUAUAUAAUAUCAUCAUCGUGUUGUUAUAUUAUGUAAUAUAUUACUACAUUGUAGAGCAAGAGGGUCUGAAUCUAUCUAGAUGAAAUAGAUAAAAAUUAAAUUAAAAUUUUUUACAUGUAUAUCCUUCUAAAUAUUCAAAUUUAUAUGAAUAUCCUUAUGAAAUUGCUAUUUAUAUAUAUAUCCUUAUAAAUUUUUUUUUGCACAUCUAUCCAUUAGAAUAUUUUAGUCAUUUAAAUUUUAAAUCAUUAAUUUUUUAACGGCAUUAAAUGGCAUAGGUACAUAUAUAAAAAAUAAAAAAAAAGAUACACAUGCAAAACAAGUAUUUUAUAAAGGUAUACAUAUAAAUAUCAAUUUUGACAGAAUAUUCACGUAAAUUUGAAUAUUGAGGAGGAUAUAUAUGCAAAAAAUCUUUGAUAGUAUCAUAAUAUACAUGAUGUGAUAUGAUAUAACAUAAUAUUAUAUAAAGUAUAUAUUUGUUUGUGGGCAUUUUGGUCACCAUAAAAAUCUUAUUGGAGCUAAAACAUCCUGACAUUUAUAAAAAGUACUUUGGGGAAGAAGCUCUAAAAUAGAGCUCCUCCCAAGUAGAUCUUUUUAGCUGAUUGGUGAAAAUAAAACUGCUUCUAAAUGUUUACUAAACACCAUUAUACUAUCUAAAAAAGCUUUGGGAGGGUUAGAAAGUGCUUUCUAGCUUUUCCAAAGCUUUGCCAAAUGGGGCUUAAGAGCUUAAGUGUUUGCUGAGUUUAUUGCUUUGGAAAAUAACACAGGUUAGUUGGAUGGUUUUAGAGCAUCUUAGUGGCCAUACUUUUUGAAGAACUCAUCUAUUUCUGUGCAGGAAAACACAAUUGCUACCCUUCAAACACCUACUAUUGUAAGGGCGAACCUGAUGAAUUGGUUACUAUUGGAAAAAAUUUCGUACAAACCGAUGAUAUGAAGAAGUCCAAGGCCCAAGAUGUCCUAGCCAAGAAGGCCCAUCUACUGGGCCUCGAUUGACCCAUCGUCGAUUGUGGCCUUCAUCGUUCUAUCACCGACUAGUUCUCGACUUCCUCCCUAUCGGUAUCCCACAGUCUGAGUAGAUAAAGACUCGUCGACUGACACUUAGUAACACUCCCCCAGAACCAUCGAUGGUUAGACUGAAGGGUUAUCAACACACUUGAAUGAUUGACUCAGUCUGAUCAGAUAACGAUUUUUGAUCAAUUGCAUCUGACCGACCAACUUUCCACUGCUGAGUAGAUCCCAACUGAAAAAUUUUUCACCUGAGGAUGGCACAAAAUGACCGACUCUUAAUCGCGACUAAACAACCCUCGAUCCACUGACAUCAGUUGACGCACUAGUUCAAAAUUCAAUGCUUGCCAGGUGAUAGCUGUCACAAGGUGGAUAUGGCAACAACAACCACUAUAUCUUGAGAGUCUUGAAUGAUAAUUCUGUCACUGUAAACAAAUUAUGCCCUAGCCAGAUGGGGUCGUGCCAACUGACUUAUCAACUAAAACUCUCGCCUCUGUCCAUAAACGGAGGCCCAAAUGGGAUCCUAAAAAAAUGUACGCCGUUACUCUGUCUCUCACACUUCUCCAUCUGUUGAAUAAGAGUUUUGACUUAAGCGUCGGAGAGUCCCCAUCGGAGCAACCUUCAGUCAUAACUUUUUUAUAGGUCAUGCCCUUGAGAAACCCAAUCUUGCCACCUGCUCUAAUAUCCCAAUGCCUUGUGAAAUCUUGUACCAAUAGAUUGGUACUAGAGGAAAGACCCAUGAACCAUGCCACCUAAGAGAGUUUUAUUCCACCAUACCAAUGCCACCGCCUCUCGACCGAUGGAGAACCAUGCUAAUAAUCGGGUACAGUCGCCAAUGGCAGAAACUCCCCCGCCUUCUCAACCGGCAUUGAUUAUGGUAGAUAAGUUCAACCUACUCUUUCAGUAGGUCUAGAAUCUGACGGCCACUGUCUAGACGAUCCAGACCGUUCCUGUACCUCCACAGGCAGCGCUGUGACCUAAUUAGGCCAUUCCUGCACCUCUCUUGGUAGCACUACCACUGAAUUUGGCUUUGCAGCCGCCAUCGCCAACCGCAAGCCCCUCUGCAAGGUCUGGAGAGGAGACAAACCUGCCAAAGCCGUCCUAGAACUCUAGAACCAAGAAGGCGGCAAUCUCCGAGCUCCCGAUCAGGGCAUGAUUAAACACUUGGUCGGCGAUCUCUUCAGCACUCUGAGACCUAUACUGCCCGAGAGACCCCACACUCAAGCGAUGACUUCGAAAGAUUGAUCAACGGAUUGAUGCGAUCUGUAAAACUUCCUCGAUGCCUUAUGAUGGGUUAAUAAUGACCCACCUUUUAAUUCGAGGAUCAUGCAAGAGUCAUUUUCUGGAUACUUCAAGGCUCCGCAAUUGGAAAGCUACGAUGGGACUGCCGACUCUGUCGAUCACCUUGAGACCUUCAAGAUGGUGAUGCUUCUCCAUGGAGCCACCGAUGCUAUCUUUUAUUGAGCCUUCUCCUUAAUUCUAAAGGAGGCGGUCCAAUAUUGGUAUUUCAGUUUGAAACCGAUCUUGAUCCAUUUCUUCAAGUAGUUGAGCCAGUCUUUCGUCAGCCAUUUUGUUAGUAGCUGAUGCCAGCAGAAACGAUCCGACUAUCUCUAUAUUAUUAAGCAAAAGGAGGAUGAGUUGAUCCUAACUUUUGUUGACUGUUUUAAUGCGGUCACUCUAGAAGUUCGUGACCUAGAUCAAUCAGUCGUGAUGUCCAAAAUGAUGAGUGAACUUCUGAAGAAUGACCUCAAGAGAUCACUAGUAAAGAUGUAUCCUGAGGACUAUCUUGAUAUGCUAAUUCAGACGGAGAAGUAUGCCCGCAUGGAGGAGGUCUUCAUCGAAGAUGAAGCUCCCACUAGUUCUAUUAUGAGGAAAAGCAGAAUAAGGAGCACUCUCCGAGAUGGAAGAGAAUUUGACAGUGCUCUAGGUCUCCAUCUCGAAAGUCGAAGAAUGGAAUCUCUCCUCGAAACCAUCAAUCUAGAAGCCCAUAAAGAAGAGAUCGGUGUGCCUCACCAUCGAGGAGGUAUAAUAAUUACACCCCACUCAAUGCUCCAAGGACUAAGGUGCUGAUGGAGAUCAGAAGACAACUCCUAAAGGCAAGGAGGUUGUGGACACCCCCUACUCAAAAGAAUCCUAAUAAAUACUGCUUGUACCAUUGAGAUCACGAUCACGAUAUGAAGGAGUAUAUCCAACUCCAAGAUGAAAUUGAAGAUUUGAUAAACACUUAAUUUAAGUCAUUUAAAGUAGAAAAUUAUAUUUAAUUUAUUUUAUUUAUUAAGAAUUUGAUGCUUCUUUUUAUGUUUUACAGGAAAGAUACUCGCCGAUACAAAGANNNNNNNNNNNNNNNNNNNNNNNNNNNNNNNNNNNNNNNNNNNNNNNNNNNNNNNNNNNNNNNNNNNNNNNNNNNNNNNNNNNNNNNNNNNNNNNNNNNNNNNNNNNNNNNNNNNNNNNNNNNNNNNNNNNNNNNNNNNNNNNNNNNNNNNNNNNNNNNNNNNNNNNNNNNNNNNNNNNNNNNNNNNNNNNNNNNNNNNNNNNNNNNNNNNNNNNNNNNNNNNNNNNNNNNNNNNNNNNNNNNNNNNNNNNNNNNNNNNNNNNNNNNNNNNNNNNNNNNNNNNNNNNNNNNNNNNNNNNNNNNNNNNNNNNNNNNNNNNNNNNNNNNNNNNNNNNNNNNNNNNNNNNNNNNNNNNNNNNNNNNNNNNNNNNNNNNNNNNNNNNNNNNNNNNNNNNNNNNNNNNNNNNNNNNNNNNNNNNNNNNNNNNNNNNNNNNNNNNNNNNNNNNNNNNNNNNNNNNNNNNNNNNNNNNNNNNNNNNNNNNNNNNNNNNNNNNNNNNNNNNNNNNNNNNNNNNNNNNNNNNNNNNNNNNNNNNNNNNNNNNNNNNNNNNNNNNNNNNNNNNNNNNNNNNNNNNNNNNNNNNNNNNNNNNNNNNNNNNNNNNNNNNNNNNNNNNNNNNNNNNNNNNNNNNNNNNNNNNNNNNNNNNNNNNNNNNNNNNNNNNNNNNNNNNNNNNNNNNNNNNNNNNNNNNNNNNNNNNNNNNNNNNNNNNNNNNNNNNNNNNNNNNNNNNNNNNNNNNNNNNNNNNNNNNNNNNNNNNNNNNNNNNNNNNNNNNNNNNNNNNNNNNNNNNNNNNNNNNNNNNNNNNNNNNNNNNNNNNNNNNNNNNNNNNNNNNNNNNNNNNNNNNNNNNNNNNNNNNNNNNNNNNNNNNNNNNNNNNNNNNNNNNNNNNNNNNNNNNNNNNNNNNNNNNNNNNNNNNNNNNNNNNNNNNNNNNNNNNNNNNNNNNNNNNNNNNNNNNNNNNNNNNNNNNNNNNNNNNNNNNNNNNNNNNNNNNNNNNNNNNNNNNNNNNNNNNNNNNNNNNNNNNNNNNNNNNNNNNNNNNNNNNNNNNNNNNNNNNNNNNNNNNNNNNNNNNNNNNNNNNNNNNNNNNNNNNNNNNNNNNNNNNNNNNNNNNNNNNNNNNNNNNNNNNNNNNNNNNNNNNNNNNNNNNNNNNNNNNNNNNNNNNNNNNNNNNNNNNNNNNNNNNNNNNNNNNNNNNNNNNNNNNNNNNNNNNNNNNNNNNNNNNNNNNNNNNNNNNNNNNNNNNNNNNNNNNNNNNNNNNNNNNNNNNNNNNNNNNNNNNNNNNNNNNNNNNNNNNNNNNNNNNNNNNNNNNNNNNNNNNNNNNNNNUGUCAGCAAACAGAAAAUUUAUCCAAGAAGGAUAUGAUGCCGCUGACCCCCAUUUUAGUAGUAGAAAUCUUCGAUGUUUGGGGGAUUGAUUUCAUGAGACCUUUUCCAACCUUAUUUGGAUUCGAAUAUAUUCUGGUAGCAGUUGAUUACGUAUCAAAAUGGGUGGAGGCAAUAGCUACACGGACUAAUGAUAAUAAAAUUAUAAUUAGUUUUAUCCAACGAAAUAUCAUUAGUCGAUUUGGCUUCCCAAGGGUGAUCAUUAGUAAUGGGGGGACUCAUUUUAUGAAUAAACAUUUUGAAGCACUUAUGAAAAAAUAUAAUAUUUCACACAAAGUGGCCACACCAUAUCACACCCAAACUAAUAGUCAGGUAGAGGUGUCAAAUAGGGAGAUUAAACAUAUCCUAGAAAAGACGAUUAGGCCCAAUAGAAAGAAUUGGUCUCUUCGCUUAGACGAUGCAUUAUGGGCUUACCGUACUGCUUUUAAAACACCCAUAGGAAUGUCUCUUUAUCGACUUGUAUUCGAAAAAGCUUGUCAUCUGCCGGUGGAAUUGGAACAUCGUGUAUUUUGGGCCAUACGGUAAUUUAACUUUGAUAUGAAAAAUACAGGUUCCAAUAGGAGACUCGAAUUAAAUGAACUUGAAGAGCUACGUAAUGAAGCGUAUGAGAGUGUCAAAAUUUAUAAGGCUCGAACUAAAGCAUACCACGAUAAAUUUAUUGCACGAAAAAUGUUCGAGUCCAAUCAAAAAGUUUGGCUCUUCAAUUCUAUGUUCCGUCUGUUUCCUGAAAAACUUCGCUCACAUUGAGACGGACCUUUCAUUGUAACUCAGGUAUUUCCUCAUGGAGCUAUAGAACUCAAAAAUCCUAAACAGGGGAACACUUUUAAAGUGAACGGUCAACGAUUGAAACCUUACAUAAUAAAAUUAGUGAUGGAGAAUUAAUUAAAUCUGUUGAUUUAAUGGAUCCAAAACUGCCAUAAUACUCAAUUCAGNNNNNNNNNNNNNNNNNNNNNNNNNNNNNNNNNNNNNNNNNNNNNNNNNNNNNNNNNNNNNNNNNNNNNNNNNNNNNNNNNNNNNNNNNNNNNNNNNNNNNNNNNNNNNNNNNNNNNNNNNNNNNNNNNNNNNNNNNNNNNNNNNNNNNNNNNNNNNNNNNNNNNNNNNNNNNNNNNNNNNNNNNNNNNNNNNNNNNNNNNNNUAGGCGCGCGUGAGCGCGUGGGCGUGCGGGUGAGCGUGGACGCGGGGUGGACGCGGCACGGACGCGGCGUGGGCGUGAGCGCGGGCACGGGUGCGGCAUCGUGCGGGUGUGGGUGCACGGCAGGCGGGUUCACAGGGAGUUUCUGAUGGCGGUCGAACAGAUGCUUAUUAAAGAAAAAAAAUUAAUAUUUAGAAAUAUUUUGAGAGGAAAGAUUUGUAUUUUCUUUACUCUCACAUCGAAAAAUCAUGUAAAACUCCUCCCUCCUAACACCUAUAAAAAGAUUUUUGUACUCCCAUUGGAGGGGGAGCCCAGAAAUUCUUCUAGAACCUUGCAUAGAGGAAUAAAAAGGGACUACUUCAUGAGCAGCUAGGCUAGCAGUCUCGGGGUGGAGAAAAAAUUUUGUAACGACACAGAGAUGGUUUAUUGUUCUAAACUUUUCUGUAUUUCUUUAUAUGCAAUAAAGAUUAUGCUUUUUAUUUAAAUCAUCAUGAGUUCUUUAUUUGUUCUCUUUCAUAUGCUUUUAUUUAUGCUUUAUUGUUAGAUUAAUAUUAGGAAUAACUUUUACUUUUCGGAGACACACCGUGAUCUACGGGUAUGGAGCGUACUGAGGAAAGAUAGGUAUUUUUUUUAAGAUUAAUCGCAUCUAUUUAAUUAAAAAAGAGACACAACUCUGCUAGUGCAAAAUUAAUUCAAAACUCCUGAGUUCUUUAUUUUCUAAUUACAUCAAUUUUAAGAUAAUUUAUUUUUUAAAUCAAAAAUAACGCUUCUUUCUUUUAUUUUGUAAUCUCAACUUAAUCCAAGGUCUCUGAGCAUACGAUCUCGACUCAUCCUACCUACGUAGUGAGUAGAGUUAUUUUUGGUGCUAUCAACGACUACACAUCAGGAUUUCAGCAGGUGUAGUCAUUUCGAUCGAUUUAUUCGAUAGAGAAGGGAGCAACAAAAAGAUCGAUGGAGAUCUCCUCAGCCGGCAGAGCAACAACAACAGGUCGAGCCGCAGGAUGACCGACCCCCAAUAGGUGUAAUAAACACUAUCACUGGGGGGCAUUAUAGCAGAGGGCUCGAUGGGGACAAAGAGGCGACGAAAAGAUAAAGAACUGAAGGAGCCUUUGAUUGGUUUUAAAUUAAAGACGAUCUUUAUUUGAUCUGACUAAAGGAGCUUUUGAUCAACUUUAAAUUAAAGAUGGUCUUUGUUCGGUCUGACUAAAGGAGUUUUUGAUCGAUUUUAAACUAAAAAUAGCCUUUAUUUGAUCCGACUGAAGGAGCCUUUGAUUGACUUUAAAUUAAAGAUGAUCUUUGUUCGACUUGACUGAAGGAGUCUUUGUUCGGCUUUAAAUGAAAUGGCUUAUGAUCGACCUAACAGAAAAAUAACUGGAGAUCAAAAAUUCUAUGCAUAAACACUACACUAGGAGAUGCGAAAUUUAUUUUUCACUAUUAAAUUUUUUUACAAAAAAUGAUGCUCCAAGCACCGUCAAAAAAAAAGAGAAGAGAAAGAGAAAAGAGAAAAAAGAUGAGGAGUUCAUUCCUUAUCUGAGGAGAGGGCCCCCACCUCCUCAUCGCUGUUGCUAGAGAGGAGGUAGCUAAGGUCCAGUUGCGGCAUCAUCUACCACAAAUAGACCUUACAGUCUUCGAACUUGAAGACAAAGAUGGUGGCGACGACAUCAGUGACCUCUUUUUUGAACACCAUCGAGGUCUUGAACUCCUUAAUAUAGUACUCACAGACUGCAUAGAGGAUCCACAUGAGGGAGAAAGAGGCGCUCUCAUCCCCAGUAGCCGACGGUGGCUUCUUCUUGGGCCCUAUAAAGGGAUAGAAAUCCAGCUCAACUGAGGAGCAGACGGCAUGCCAAAAGAGGCAGACUAGCCCGACUCCCCUUUCUUCACUUCUUGGAUAAGAGGGCCUUCUUGGUAGUGGUCCUCCUCUCCUUAACCGUCUCCUUAAUAGCUUUCUUAAAGGGCAUCAUGAUGGCAAAGUGGAUGGAGAGUUUUUGCAAGUACUGAGAGAGAAAGAAUGAAAGGUGAAGCUUUCACCAACCAUCAGUCCCUUUUUAUAGGCGCAAGCACCUCUAUCAAUCAUCAAUCGCUAGCUUUGAUUGUACAAUUAUUCUCUAGGCCAUAAAUGGCAUAUCUUCCCAACCUCAAAAAUUAAUCUGGACGAUGCUUCACAGACUGAUACACUACCACACGGUGUGUCCCCAUAAGUUUGGAGCAUCCUCUCAAAAUUUAUUCCGUCAGAAAGAAUAGCAACCGUUAUUCCCCAAGAUAAAUGCCCAAUCACGUUACAUUCGUCUUAAAUGUGUUAGGAUUUAUGAAGCACCGCCCAUAGUUAAUGCAAAGAGCGGUUGACAUGACAAGCAUCGAAGAUUUUUCAUCAAAAAUUUGAUAUGAAGUAGUCCAGCGAUGACGCCAGAUAGCAUCACAGAGCAAAAGAGAAUGUGACAUAAGAAGAUUUUAUUGCAUUUACACAAUCUUUAUGACUAUAGGAACGUCGUCACCCAGAAUAGAUGACAAAAGAAAUUGUUACAUGAAGUCAUGACUAGUCUUGGCCUUCGAAGCUUCAUCAGAAACCACCUCAUGGAUCUCUGCACUGUCAGGAUCGAGCUCGCAAAUCUCCACCCCUUGAGACCUGCAUCGAGGGCAGCAGACUCUGUGUUGCCUUCAGACAAGAAGCUAGAAAGAUCAAGUCCUGGGAAUGCUAUUUUGCUUUGAUUCCUACACAUCCAAAAGCUAGCCGUGUAAUCUGCAUCGAACAUAGGUUGGACUUUGUCAUUUGAAGAUGCGAGAUCGACUAGUACUUAUCCGACCAGGCUCUGAGACCUUAUGACCAUCGAUCGAUUUUUCCUCGAUCUGUAUUCGGCAAUCGUGUUCCUUGAAUGCUCAAGUCUGGAGAUCUUCUCUCGAGCAACAUGAAGUUCUUUUCAGAGCUGUGCCACAUAAUCGGCGAAGCGCCCCCUAGCUUCUUUGGCAGCAGUCUCUGACGACUCUAGUUCUGAAAUUCUUUCUUUAGCUGAGUGGACCUGACUGCGAAGGUGGAGUUGUUUAGCGGCACCACCUCAAGUGGCUUGGCGAGUCUCAAUAACUUCAUAGAUUCAGCGGCCAGAUAAGCCCUCUCCAUCGAAUAUGCCUUGUCAUUUUGGUGAAUGGCCGGCCGACCUUAACCGUAUGAUUUCCACUGAAAUCUCAUCGAGUGCUUUCUUGGUCUUUGACAGCUCCUUCUUUCGGAUGGCAGCUUUCUUAUUCAACUUCUUGACCAUCUUUUUCAGAUCACUUAUGGGAGCCCUAAUCCGCACAGUAGAAGCUGCCGGCAAAGGCUCAUCAGUGGAAACUGAAGGAAUAUAUAUAGCUACCGAGGAUGCACUAGCAUGACUGAACAAACAAAUGAAGAACAACAUGAAUUUAAAGAAGGCAUGAAAUCUCAUUUCAUUGAUGAAAGUUUUUUUUACAGGGGCCAAAGGAAAGAAAAAAUACAAGAUUUCUCAUUUUCUGAUCUUGUCUCGAGAGUCGGGAGGGCUCAGAGCAGUUGCUGAUAGAUCUGAGGAUGCUUUAGUUAAAAGGGGUUACCCCUAGAAUUGAAAUAUCGACAGCGAGCAGCAAAGAGACCCCCACUGCCAUCUUUUCGUUCUCGAGCGACCCCUCGAUGAUGAAAAACUCAAAAAGAAUUGGCUUCCUCUUCCCCCUCGUCCUCAUCUAAGAAGGAGAGAUCGGUCCCAGAGAGCCGAGCAGCAACUCGACGACGGCAAUCCUUGUAUCCGGUCUCAUGCCAUACAUUACAGUCCUGCUGACUAAACAUGACCUUGGCAUCAUGAAAGUCCUCCGACGCCUUGAAGCUCUCAACCGUCUGAGCCUUCUCCUGCACAAAAUCAGUCGAGGCCCAGAAACUCUCCACUGUCGAUCCACGGGCCUCAACAAUCUGCCCCUUGACCUCCCACUUGACAUCGACAACCCGAUCCUCAGCCAUCUUCUCAAACUUUGUAAUUUUAGCAGUGGCCUCUCGUAGCUCCUCUCUCCGAGUAAGGUCGGCAUUAGUCUUAUUCAGUGCCUCCUCAGAUGCUCAAUCUCCUCCUUGGUCUUCUUGAUCUGUGCAUGCACCUCCUUGGUGGUAGACUCAGUCUAUUGGUGCAGGUCCUUCAUCAUCUCUACUCUGUUUGUGUGGUUUAGGAGGAUGAUCAAAAAAUGGAGCAUUUGCACCUAAUCCAUGUCAAGGAAGAUGGUAAAGAAGAGAGAAAGAAUCAAAAAAUAAGAAAAUGAGCAAGGAAAGUACCUGAUGCAUGGGAGUCACGGAAUGUCACUGCAGGUUAUCAAAAUCUAUACUGUCGAUUCCCUCCAGCUCUGUGGGGAGGAUCGUCCUCUCAAUCAGCUCCCUAACAAUCCAUCAAUCAUCGAAAGUUGCAUUCUCAAGGAUCAAAGGGAGCCAAGUAUCCAUGUCGACCUGGUCUCCUAGGGGAGGCAGUCGGCUUGGGCCAGCCAUUGGAGAAGAUCGAGCCUCAUCUCUAAGCAGGGACAUGGGAGGAAUCAGAGUACGAGCCAUGAAGGGUGGAGAUGCCUACAUCUGAGUGGCAGAGAUGGGGGUCGCAGCCAUCGGUGGAGGGUCUGAGGGGACGUCGCUCGCCACUGCAGCGGCGGCCUCGACUAUUGAGGCCUGCUCAACCAAAGUUUCUUUCCAACUGAUCACAGUGAUGCUAGGCUUCUUGGAGAUGCCUUUUGAUGAUGGAGCCUUCCUCUUUUUUGGAAGGUACCUCUUUAUCUUGGCUAUAUCCUCAGGCCUCAUCUCUACAAUCAUCAAAAGAUGGUCAGAAAUAUAAAAUGAAAGAAAUGAGAAAAGAGGAUGAUUGCACUAUGCAUCCUUAGGGUUGGCUUGAUUAAGCCUCACGUUAUAGAGGGCUUCAUCGGACAACAACUCAUCGAUGGAGGGAACCCUAAAAUCUCUGAGGGUCUUAAAGCAAUCCUCUUCCUCAGCCUUCAAUUUUGAAACUCAGAAGGCGAAAGCUUCUAGCCAACCCAAGCUUGACAAGUCCCAAUCAUCUACUGAGGGGUUCAAAAUAAAAAGAAACCACUCCUUCCAUCCAUAAACAAAGGAAGGAGUAUCCUUUAUCAGAGGUGAGACCUCUCUCUGAGAAGAAAAGUACCAUCAAUCUUUGGCAUAUGGGUGCCUCUUGAUGGUGAAGAAGGAACAAAAAAGAGAGACAGAUAGCCAAACGUUGGCCAUAAUGCAGAUGACCAAAAAAUCCACUACAAAUCUAAGAAAAUUCAAGACAACUGCACAAUGAAAAAGGCCAUAAAAACAAAAGAUGUCAAAGAUAAGAGGGAGAAUAGAGAAUCUCAAGCCCACUCGGAGUGCUUCUUUAUACACAUCGAGCUGAUCAGGAGAUGGGUUAUCCAUCCGAUCACCAGUCCUAGGGAGUUCUAACUUGAACUCCGAGGGGACUCUAUACCAAUCUGUAUCAAACUCAGAUCAUUCGAACUUAGUAUAGAACCAAAAGCAUCAGACCCAACCUCGCUUCUUCUUCGAUCGGGUUCUCAGGAUUCACCAUCGGAGAGGAUCGAUCUCUCACAAAAUCGUCAGAACCCGCCAUCCAAAUCAAAAUGAAGAAGCCAAGAAAGUAGUAUGGAGAAAAAGGUAAGAAAGGAAGACAGAUGGGCAAGGAAGGAUGAACUAGAAAACCCACCUGACAAUAAGGACAAAUAGUGGAGGAAUAGGACGGCAAGAAAAUCCUUCCAAAAAAUUCUUCUGAGAGACUGCAGUGAAAAUGGUACGUUAUGACUCAGACAAAGAAAACAGAAAAAAGAGAGAGAAAAUGAAAGAUGUUAGGAACGAUCAAAGAGUCGAGAAUAGACUUGUCUCCUACUUACGAUCGAAAGAAAUAACCCCCAGGGAUAUCGAAUCGUCUCCUGUUAGACAACCUAUGGCAUAUGGUGCCUCCCAUUUAUCAGCCACAGCUGCCAAUUGGCUGAUAAGUACAUUAAACAUGUUAAUAAAAAUAUUAAUUUAUUAAUUAAUUUAUCUUUAUUUUUAAGAACUAAUACUUCUAUUAAUCUUUUGCAAGAAAGAUGGUUGUCAAUACAAAGAGCCCGAUUUGUAGGUUAAAAAAAAAUUAGAGCAAAUCAGACUUAAAAUGGAUCCAGAAUGAUGGUCCAAAAGCAAGCUACAAAAUGAGCUCAAUUUGAGUCCAAAAUCAAUUCAAACCAGCUUAAACCUAACCUAAUUAAACCGUUCAGUGUACGAUGGACCGACCGGUCAGUCCACAUCGCAAUCCACAGGAAUAGGGCCGGUCCAUGUCGUGGUCUAUAGGGUAGGGCGGCUUCUUCUACAUUGAUCGAUGCCUGAGAGAGGUCCCACACAUGAUCGGACGGUUAAGGGAUCUCUUAACUAUAUACUUCGGUGGUGGCCUACUUUCUUAGCACGAUCCAACGGCUGGUAGCGGGUUUCAAGCACGAUUGGAUGUCACGAUGGAAGCUGACUAUAAGAAGAAUUCUGGAGACUUUAUAAGCAUGAACGGAUGGAUGAGAUCAAAUCCAGGGAAAGAUCCAAUGGUCAGGAUUCAAGCUGACUUGAAUUUGGGCUAUUUUAAGGCUAAUUUCAGAUCGUUUGAUGCUGAUCAAAUGGCAGGCAUGGGUCUAGAAGUUUGACAAUGAUUAAGAGUUCGAUCUUAACUCAAAUUGAGCCUAGUUUUCGUCUAUAAAAUCAAGAGGCCAUGGAGAAUUUAGGGAGAAUGUGAGCAGCAAGAACACAGAUCUUUUAAUUUUCUUUUAUUCUCUUUUUAUUUUAAAACUUUUGUAAGGAAUUUUUGAGAGAAAAAAAGAGGGUGGUUGUCAGGAGUCUUCUUCAUUGUCUUCCUUCCAUGAAAAUGAUGCUUGCAGACACCAUGCACGGCUGAACUCUGAAUCUUCAAAAGAGUAGAUGAGGUUCUUUUAAUAUUUAUUUUUUAAUUUCUGUAUUAUGUAAUUAAAUCUUGAUUGUAAUGAUCUUUUCUUUUAUGAAUAAAAUUUCUCUGUCAUUCCUUCAAGUAUUGUGCUUCAUGUUUGAAAUAUAAUUUAGAUCUUUGAAUAGUCUAUGGCUACGUAGAGACUAGUCAUAUUUUAAGAGUACGAUUCAUGCUCAGCGAAAUAGACUAUGAUCGAGAUCUGAUUAUAGAAUAUUUUAUUUAUUUUUAUGAUUUGAUAUUUAGAAUAAUCUAUGACUACGUAGGGGCAGAUCGAGAUCUGUAUCCAUCGAGAUGGGUUAUGAUCGGAGAUCAAUCAUAGCUUUAAUAAUUACAUAAUAAAUAAUAAAUUUAUAUUUCAUAAAAAAGAAACUACAUCAAAAUUCUAGGACAUCUUUCUUAUUUGCUUGCUCAUUAAAUUAUAAUUUUAGUUUAAUUCAAACUUUUAUUUCUUUUUGACCAUAUUUCCACACUUUCAUAUUUUUAAUUUUAUGAUUUAAUCUUAAUUAAAAAUGAACAUAACCUCAUUGAUCCCUGUGGAUUCGAUCCUGACUCACUAUUAUCUAUAACAGCGAUCAUUGGCCAAAUCGAUGCCAUGCUACAAAAGAAAGAUUUCAAAUUGAUGUUCAUUUAACUCAGCUAUGAUGACUUGGGCAUGACACUUCACAUACGUCCCAAAAGUUGCACACAUCCCAUCAAUCAAAAAAUCUCUUCAUAUUCUUAGCUUAAGAAAGUAAGUGUACUCCCUUCAUCCGAUCAAAACUUAAACUCGAAAGUAGGAGACAUAUAUUGGAAGAAAUUUUAUACGGACCGAUGAUAUGAAGAAGCCCAAGGCCCAAGACAUCUCGAUCUAGUAGGCCCACUUGCUGAGCCUCCAUUGACCCAUUGUUGGUCGUGGCCUUCAUCAUUCUAUCACCGACUAGUCCUUAACUUCCUCCCUGUCCGUACCCCACAGCCUGAGCAGAUAAAGAUUCACAGACUGGUGCUUGGUAACACUCCCCCAGGACCAUCGACGGUUAGACUGAAGGAUCAUCGGCAUGUUAGAAUGAUUAACUUAAUCCAAUCAGAUAACGAUUUUUGACCGAUUGCAUCCGACCGACCAACUUUUCAUUGCUGAGUAGAUCCCAGCUCAGGAAUUCCCCACCUAACGACGGCACAGAAUGAGCGACUCCUGAUCACGACUGAACAACCUUCGAUCCACUGACACCAGUUAGUGUACUAGUUCAAAAUUCAAUGUCUGCCAAGUGACAACUAUUACAAAGUGGAUAAGGUAACUACAACUACCAUAUUCCGAAAGUCUCGAAUGACAAUUCCGUCACUACAUACAAAUUAUACUCUAACCGAACUAGAUCGUGCCAACUGACUUACCAACCAUAGCUCUCGCCUUUAUUGAUAAAAGGAGGCCCAAAGAAGAUAUUGAAAAAAGAUACGCCAUUACUCUGUCUCUCACGCUCUUCCAUUUAUUGAACAAAAAUUCUAAUUUGAACGUCGGAGGGUCUCCGCGGGAGCAACCUCUGGCCAAAAUUUUUUUGCAGGUCACACCCUCGAGAGACCCAAUCUCAUCGUGUGCUCUAGUGUCCCAAUACCCUGCGGAAUCUUAUACCAACAGUUACCUUCAACAGCAGCCCAGCAAUAAGAAAUUAGAACUCUCUUACGGAAAAAAUAAGAAAUUAGAACCCUGAUUUUUUGAAAUUUUAGAAAGCCAAGCAAUUUCUUAUACUCUUGUUGGAAGGCUUAAUUUCUAGACAUGGUAUGGAUCAGCUAACCAGAUAACUAAGAAACAAUAUCCUUAAAACAGUGAGGUUGGAAAUAGAAAGAGAUGAUCUCCUAAACUAGUCGAAAUUAUUCUAAUACCAACUGUACUUUUCUUGCAAGGUCGCAAUUCCAUGGCUGAUGAGAAAUUCGCUAUUUUGCAGACCCUGACAGGUGAAAUACUGGCACAUAGUCGCAAGCAUCUUUGUAGACUCGAACAUAUCAUCAAGCAUCAUGUUAAAACAGUCUUCAAAAAUUCUGCUUAAAAAAGAAGCAUUCAGGUUGUAAACUGUCUGAGAACACACCAAGAUCAAAAGGAAGUGAUCCAGCGUCGGAUUCUCUUGCCCUUUUUGUAGUCUGUUUUCAAAUUGUGAUGCGUAUAAGAAAAUAUAACAUUUUAAUUUGUAUGAAAUUGUGACGCAAGUUGUUAGGGCAUUUUAUUUUACAAGUAUUAUAGUCCCUCAAUAUUAAGGUUCCUUUCAAUGAUCCAAGUUUGAUUAUUUCAAUUGGAAAGACUCUUAUCUCUGCAAGUUCCUAGUUGCUUGUGAUAAUUAUCUUUGUAUAUUUGUAGCCUUUAUUCUUUUUGCACUUUGUAAGCUCUGUGCUGUAUUUUUUUUGGAUUUUUCACUUGAUAUAGAUGAGCAUGAGGCUUAAAACUAAUGAAAGUGUAGUCCACAUGCAAUCACAUGGUUUGACACAUUAUGAUGUGAAAUUUCUUUCUUUCUUGCUAGAAGAGGUUUAUAGACAAUGCCCUUUACAAUGGGUGCCAGCCCCCUCUAGCAUACCCCAAUCCCUUCCAAAUUGCAAGGUGAGAAGAAGCUAGAUUUCUUGGUAUUGUCACCCAAGUCACUAUCAGCUUGUUUAGCUGGCAACUUCAAAUGAACUGAAGUCUAUUAGCUCAUUAGACUCUCAUACGUCUUCUAAUAUUCUGUCAGAUAUAUUUAAAGUUUUCUCUUUAAAUGUAAAAUUAAUCGAUCAAUCGAAAAACUAGUUAAGAAAUACUCAGGCUAUUGUCAGCCAAAACUACUACUGCCUUUUUGCAUCACUUCCAACCCUCUAGCAAAGCAUCAUGGAGGCCAAAAAUAGUGUCUCCUGAAAUUCUCUUAUAUUAAUUCAAAGUGUAUAUAACAAAUUAUAAAAAAAUGCUUUUGUACUUAAAUAACAAUCUCACUAAUUUGGAAAGUGGAAAAUCAUCAUCUUUAGAUUGUCUACAACUUAUAUUUCAUACUUUAUGCUAUCCAUCAAACAAUCCCUUGCCAAUUUCUUUCUUCCAAAAAGAGGCUGCACUCCAAUACGCACCGCAUACAUCUUGUUGGCAUAAGUUUAGUAAUCUUUGCAGUUUGAAACACUCUCAAUAUGUCAAAGCACAUGAGAAUUGAAACUGAAUUGCUUUGUAAUUUUGUUGUAGUUCUUUUUUUUAACCCUUUCAACUGCUUAUCAAAUAUUCAUCUAGUCUUAUUACAAAAGAAUAUUCAUCUUUUAACCAUAUAAUACACGUACAGGUGACAAAUCUCUAGACAUCAAACAUUCAAUAAAUGACUUGAAUGGCAGAUCUGAAUGCAUAAGUACUAAUUUUAGCAUCAAAGAAAAAAGUGCUGUUGCAUGGGAUCAUUAAAGCAUAUUCCUUUUCAAAUCAUUACAUUCAUAGAGACAUAAAACUCUUUAGCAAUUGCUUGACUCGAAAAGGUAAAAAUUAAAACGUGGUUGCAUGUAGGCCACCCAACAUCCUCCUGCACCGUCCAAGCUACAUCUAAACAGGUAGUUAUCACAGUGAAACCAUCAUAGUAAAAUAGCUCAAAGAAAAAAACAAUAUUCUUGUGGUGGUUGCCAAGUAGACCAUUCCAAGCAUAUCAGAGUUAUCUCAGAUAACUAUCGGAAGACUCCAAAGAGCAACUCAACCCCAUGCAGUCAAAAGAAGGGGGGAAUGGAUUAGACUCGAAAGGAUAGAGUAGAGGCACGAGAAGCUGGGAGGGGGUUGGGAUUGAAAGAGAGAUUUGGUGAUGAGGAGGUCAAGUCCAUAAACGAGAGGCCUCAAAUCCCUUACCCUCCCAUACGCGCCUUCUCCCCGCCACCCCCUCUCUGUCUCUAUCUCUCUCCAAGUCUUAAGCCGAUGGGAGGAAGUAGACCCCUAAAUGAGAGGCCUCAAAUUCCUUACCCUCCCACACGUCCCCCCCUUCCCUCUCUCUCUCUCNNNNNNNNNNNNNNNNNNNNNNNNNNNNNNNNNNNNNNNNNNNNNNNNNNNNNNNNNNNNNNNNNNNNNNNNNNNNNNNNNNNNNNNNNNNNNNNNNNNNNNNNNNNNNNNNNNNNNNNNNNNNNNNNNNNNNNNNNNNNNNNNNNNNNNNNNNNNNNNNNNNNNNNNNNNNNNNNNNNNNNNNNNNNNNNNNNNNUCCCCUCCCUCCUCUCUCUCUCUCUCUCUCUCUCUCUCCAAGUAUUAAGCCGAUGGGAGGGAGUAGACCCAUAAAACCUUAUCCCCUAUCCUCUCUCCUCAUCACCUCUAUACCCUAUACCUUACCUUCACCUAUCUCUCUCCCACCACAUCCAAAAUCCAUUAUUCCAGUAUUCUCUCUUCUCUUCCCCUCUCUCACUUUCUCUCUUCUUCUACUUCUCUUUUGCUUUUUCUUUCCCAUUGCUUUCUUCUGAGAGAGCUUUCUCUCUUUCUCUCAUUCCAUCCUCCAUUUUGUACUAAUUAAAGCUCGUGCCUUUUCUUUUCUCUCCUCUAAUUAAUCACUCUAUCCAAUCCCAUGUAGCUCUACCAUCUAGAUGCACCUUAGAAGAAAUCUUAUAGCAUUUUGAAUUCAAAUAAUAAUCCUUAUAGAGAGAAGGGAGCUGGUUUUUGUUUUCUCUGAGUCUGACUCUGGUGCUUGAUGGCUCCCAAGGCUGGGAAAGCGAAGCCUCACAAGGCCAAGGGUGACAAGAAGAAAAAAGAAGAAAAAGGUCCCCUAAUCUCUUCUCUCUCUCUAUUUCUUUUUUUUUUUCCAAUUUAAUCUCUAUUUCUCUCUCCAAAUCUAAUCCAAGGAUUUAAAGAGAAUAUCAUGUGUGGAAACCUGCAGUGCUGCCGACCGUUAUCGACGUAAUCGUUGAGACCCCGGACUUCGCCCAGCUGACGCUCAAGGUAACGGGAAUAUAUUUUUUUUUGUUCACCCAUCUCUCAUUUUUCAGAACACAGUGCGCAAGCUAGCUUUGCGUGCGCCUGUGGAUGAAGAUAAGAUUAUGGGGUUCCUCAGCUCCAUCUGACUGCUGCGAGAUACGCAGGGGAUAUCGACAGAUAGCAUUUUGGACAUUCAUAAGCUUCUGGCCGUACACGUGGAUACGUGCCACCUCACCAACUUUUCCCUCUCCCACGAGGUAGGAAAUUCAAGCACGGUCGCCCUCAAAUAUUUCUUUAUGCGGAAAUGCGUCGGAACAAAAGUUUUGCGCUAGUAUGCAACAUUUAUAUUUGCGCAUUAUAUUUCUGGACCGACGAAAGCCACUCGGAUUCCAACGAAAAAAAAAAAACCCCAAAAAAACAGCUGGAUAUUAGGGGCUCACGUCCGCAGGUAUUUUCUAUGCGGAUUUACAUCUGCAUAGAAUUUCGUGCGCAGUUCCGCAUACGAGGUUGUAUAGUGGUGCAUUCCAUCAACGGAUGUCUGCUGUUAAAUGUCCGCAUAUAUUUUUCCGUGCGAUCUUAUUUCUGCAUAAAAAAUUAUGCGGAUGUCCGUAUAUAAGCUCGUAUUAACUCACUAUUAUCUAUUUUUCCCACUUGGCAUCGUCCCCGCUACCGCUCUAUAAAUAAAGAUCGGAUCCAGCCCGUCGGGUGCAUGUACUUGCUUUCUAACGUUCACCGGUUGUGUACUUUAACAGGUGCGUGGAGCCAGGUUGAAAGACACGGUGGACAUCGUCUCCCUCAAGCCCUGCCGUCUCAGCAUCGUCGAAGGUAACAUCAGCCGCAUUCCACUUAUAUACACCCGUCCACAUCAUUAAAAAAAAAAAAUUUCCUAAGGAGAGAACUGAUCAGAACCGUUCAUUUAAUGAUGGCGGACUUGACCGGCGUAUUGAUCGCUAAACUGUGGGAACUAUUUAAUGAUGUCCCUUUAUUCCGUUUCCCGAAAACAACUAAGGACAUUGGUUAUACGAAACGAACGGUUCUUGAUCAGUCCAAAGAACCGUAAGACUUCUGGCGCGCGCGCUACGCUUCUCGCGAGUUAUUUUACCGGGACUACGCGCUAAAUAACGCGUCCUCUCUUUUCUUGUAGAGGACUACACGGAGGAGCUCGCCCUCGCCCACGUCCGCCGCCUGCUCGACAUCGUCGCCUGCACCACCGCCUUCGGCGCGCCUGCGGCGAAGAAUGCUGGAUCGACGGCGGCGCCGACUGGAGGCGUUGGGAAGGGUGACUCGCGAUCUAGUGCUCCGCCGCAGCCCAGCAGCCCGCCGAAGGCGUCCGAGGCCUCCACCGAGUCCGAGACAGCCGAGUCCCCUCCGAAGUCGAAGACUGAGAAGCCAAGUUCCCCCUCCACCACCAGUACUGCCACCACCAGUCCCGGUGGGAAUCACAAGGAUGAGCUUAUGUACCCUCCGCCCAAGCUCGGCCAAUUCUACGACUUCUUCUCCUUCUCCCACCUCACGCCGCCGCUCCAAUGUUGGUUACACGCCUCUUUUUUCCUUUUAUUUCGCAGUUUUUGUCGCUUUUCAUGCAGAAAAUUUCGAUCUUGAAAUUGUUUUCUUCUUGUAAUUCGUUUCAGAUAUCAGGAGGUCAUCGCGACCGUUCUUGGACGACAAAAGGGAAGAUGACUUCUUUCAGAUUGAUGUGGGUUCAUUUUUUACUUCAAGAAAGAUGGGAUCGUGCAUUGGAAAUUUAACAAAUAAGCGUUAAAUUCCAAUUUUUCCGUUGACUUAAUUAACUAGUGGGAGUUGGGAAUUGAUGAGCAGGUAAGGAUUUGCAAUGGGAAGCCGGUGACGAUAGUGGCAUCGCAGAAAGGGUUCUACCCGGCUGGGAAAAGGGCUCUCCUCAGCCAUUCAUUGGUGGGUCUGUUGCAGCAAAUUAGCCGCCCCUUUGAUGGGGUAAGUAAAAUUUUAGAUCUUUCCUUCAUAUCCUACCUUCAUGAGCUCCCCCCUCUCCCUUCUUUUUGCAUAUAAAACGUUUUAUUUGAUCAAGAAUCCUUUGUAAUUGCAGGCGUACAAGUCCCUCAUGAAAGCUUUUAUUGAGCACAAUAAGGUGCGGUUUUACUACUUAUUCUUUGAACAAUCAAGGCAUGUUUGGUUGGGGGAGUUGGAUCAUAGAAUGAGAAUGGGAAUGAGUGACUCCUAGGUUGGGAGGAGUAUUAUUCCCAUUCCGAUUCUGGGGGGAAUGGGAAUGUCCCAAUCCCCUAAAUCCAAUCCCUAUUCUUCUUUAAUAUUUAAAUUUGAUUCUAAUUCUGGUCCCAAACCACACACGUCGGGGGAUAUGACCAUUUUGAUUCUCAUUCCAACCCAUUCCGUUUUGAUUACGAUUGCAGUCGCGAACCAAAUGCACCCUUUAAGUAUUUUCACUUUUGCACUCGCAGAUAAAGCCCCUCUGACAAUUGAAUAUUGAGUUAUAUUUUGUUGGUUCUGAUGGAGAUCAUGAAAUUAUGCCCGUCUUAUUAAUGUGUUCUCUUACAAAAUAUAUACUGAAAUAUCACUGAGUUCUUUCAGUCGUCGUUUCAUUGAAUUGAUAUUAUGGUAUGCCUUAUCAGUCUAAAUUAAAUUUUCACCAUUAAUCAAUCAAAUUUCCACAGGCUGUAUUCCUUGAGUAUUAGUGUUUUGCAAUUGACGUUGGAGGCAUUAUUUCUUUGUUACUUAAUCUACCAAGACCUUGAGCGAGCUUCUCUUCUGCUUUCUGAAGUUCACUAACGUGAUCAAGUUCUAUUUCUUGAUUCUUCUCUACAAGUCCUCCCACUGAAUAUCUCUCUUAGUCCUUCAUAGUUCACUUGGUUUCUUCAUAAACAAGAUAAUUGCUUUCUUCUGAUGUAGUAGAAAAUCAUUUGUUGGGGUAAACAAAAUAAAAUAAUUGCUUGUGAUUAGCAAUAAAAUUUAAUCUUUAGCCAAAUAAAAAACAUAUUGAUUCUUCCUUCAUGCCAUUAAUGAGAGUAAGCUGUCUUCUCAUAUUACCCUUUUUUCAAAACAUCUAAAUCUAGAAUUAACUGUAACAUGUUAUAUUUCUAUAUUUACUUUAUGGUCAGUUUGUAUUCACUUUUUUCCAGUUUGGGAAUCUCCCUUAUGGAUUCCGAGCAAACACAUGGGUGGUUCCUCCCAUCGUUGCAGAUUCUCCAUCAAUUUUUCCCCUUCUUCCAACAGAGGAUGAAACUUGGGGUGGAAAUGGUGGAGGUCAGGGAAGAGAUGGAAAGCAUGAUCAAAGGCAAUGGGCAAAGGAAUUUUCAAUGCUAGCUGCCAUGCCCUGCAAGACAGCUGAAGAGAGACAAAUUCGAGACAGGAAGGCCUUUCUUCUUCACAGCCUAUUUGUUGAUGUGGCUGUCCUCAAAGCUGUUGGAGCUAUUCAGCAACUUGUUGUCAGCCAUGAGCAUUUGAACACAAUGCCAAAUGGUCCUGCUGAUGCAAUUUUGCACCGGGAACAAAUUGGGGAUUUAAAAAUUACGGUUAUGAGAGAUAAAGCUGAUGCAAGUGCUAAGUUGGAUGCUAAAUUGGAUGGGAGUCAGACUCCAGGAAUGUCUUCUAAGGAGCUUGCUCAAAGAAAUUUACUAAAGGGAAUCAUUGCUGAUGAGAGUGCAACAGUUAAUGUAAGUAUUGCCUUUCCUAAAUAAAAUUACACCCCUGAUUUUUCUCAGGUGAUUCUUCUGUGUAACCAAUGGUAGGGUUGCUAGUUAUAUGCUGAAGAAAUAUGGUGACCUUGCAGGAUACUGCUACUCUUGGUGUAGUUGUUGUUAGACAUUGUGGAUAUACUGCCACUGUCCAGGUUCCAGUUGAGGCUGGCUUGGCUGGAAAUACUGUAACACAGUCAGACAUUGAUAUUGAAGAUCAGCCUGAGGGAGGUAGCAAUUCUUUAAAUGUCAAUAGGUAAUUCCAUGAGAGAAUUUGAUGUCUAUGUGGAAUAAACAUUUCUAAAUGGGUUGUUUGUAUUUGUUUUAUGUUAAUUUGGUUGUAUACAUAAGUGUUUCGUUUUAGGCUGUUUUGAUUGGUGAUCAACCUAUUGGUUGCUAAAUGGCAAGAUAAUAAUGGGAUAUUUCCUGUCUACCUUUCAGCUUGAGAAUGCUAUUGCACAAGUCAUCUGCUCAAUCAUGUGGUGGAGCCCAACACUUGCAAUGUAUGGAAAUUGAAGAUUUACAAUCUGCUGGGUCCUUCGUACGAAAAGUACUAGCAGAUAGUCUGAUGAAGUUGCAAGGAGAGGAAACAAAGCAGAGAAAGUCGAUCAGAUGGGAGCUUGGAGCAUGUUGGGUGCAACACUUACAGAACCAGGCUUCUGGGAAAGUUGAGUCUAAGAAAAGUGAGGACUCCAAAGUUGAGCCAACCGUAAAGGGUCUCGGGAAACAAUUUGGUCAGCUAAAAGAGAUUAAGAAGAAAAUAGAUGAUAAGGCUUGCAAGAUCGAUCUUGCAAAGGAAAACUCUGCGUAUAGUGGCGUCAAUGCAAACAAGACACAUGUGGCAGACAGUGCUAAUUCAAAGGAGAAAAGAGAAGUUAUGCUGCAGAACUUGCUUCCUGAAGCAGCAUUCUUACGCCUGAAAGAAUCUGAUACUGGUCUUCAUCUUAAGGUUUGCCCUGCUCCUCUAAUUAAUAUAAAUUCUGCUUGGACUGAAACAGCACUUAACUGGUUGAGCAAGUCAUCAGACCCAAUAAUUGAUUGCUUUUUUUCAUGUUUAUAUGUGUCAUUUCGUAUUCACAAAUUGAUUUUUGUUUGUUUAAUUUUGUCAUAUUUCUUUGUGCUCAAUCGUACUGUUGCUGUUGUACAUUUUGAUCAGCACUUGUCUGAAAUGCUUAGUUUGAGGAUUUGGCAUGUCACUAAAUCCAUUUACAUAUUUUUGCUACUACUAAUAAUUUAAUGAAUAUUGUGGGCACUUUGCUUCCUGGAAGUAAUCUUCUGUAUAGCUACCUUUCUGGUCUGUCAAUUCUGUCAAUUAAUGAUUUUGACACCAGAUGCAUGACACAAAGUGGAUCUGGACUUUACAAGUAUAUUAUCUAUUGUUAAAUAUAGUUGCAGGACUUAAUCUUUGUCUCAUUUAAUUGGUUUUGGCAGUCCCCCAAUGAGUUGAUUGAGAUGGCACAUAAGUAUUAUGAGGAUACUGCAUUACCAAAGUUGGUAAGCUUGGCUAGCUAUUCUUGCUGAUGUUUACCUUUAUGUGGGUUGGUAAUUUUGCAGCCAAAAGCCUUAACAUCAUGCUGCAUUAUUCCUCAGGUAGCAGAUUUUGGUUCACUUGAACUUUCUCCUGUUGAUGGGAGGACAUUGACAGAUUUUAUGCAUACCAGGGGUCUGCAGAUGUGUUCAUUAGGACGUGUGGUAAAUUUUUUAUUAUUUAUAUGUAAUGUUAAUGGCUUAUCAAAUACUAUCAAGCAAUUCAUUCCUGGCCAUCAUGUAUAAUACCAAUAGUAACCAAAAAAAAAAUUGCUGAAGCCUUUUUUCUUUCUAUGUUUUGCUGCCCUUCUUAUCAGGUUGAACUUGCCGACAAACUUCCUCAUGUACAGUCCCUUUGUAUACAUGAGAUGGUAGUUCGAGCAUUUAAGCAUAUACUGCAGGCAGUUAUUGCAGCAGUUGAUGAUAUAACUGGCAUGGCUGGAGCAGUGGCCUCAUGUCUGAACAUUUUGCUGGGAUCCUUGCGGGCAGAAAAUGUAGAUACAAACAUAGCUACUGAUGAUAAUCUGAAGCAAAAGUGGUUGGAAAUCUUUUUACUGAAGAGAUUUGGAUGGAAAUGGAAAGAUGAAAGUUGCCAUGAUUUGAGGAAGUAUGCUGUUCUACGGGGGCUUUGCCACAAGGUGGGUACCUAAGUUCUGUUGUUUACUUCAUUAGUAUUGUUUAGUCACCUAAGGUCCGAAACCUUUGUAAUUUUUAUCAUUGGUAAGCUGUAGUGGAACUUUCCCAAUGCAGGUGGGACUUGAGCUAAUUCCUAGAGACUAUGAUAUGGAUAGCCCAUAUCCUUUCAGGAGGUCAGAUAUCAUCAGCUUGGUUCCUGUAUACAAAGUAAGAACAUGCUUUAUUCACAGGAGACAAGUUUGACUUGAUUAUUAGCACCUGUGACAUUUGUUAUUUUGAAUGGCAGCAUGUCGCAUGUUCAUCUGCAGAUGGACGCACUCUGUUGGAAUCAUCAAAGACAUCCUUGGACAAAGGCAAACUAGAGGAUGCUGUUAACUAUGGUACCAAGGUAUAAAAACUAUUUUUUUCCCAUGCUUCCAUAAUGCUCCCCCCGCCCCUUCCAAAGAAAAAAGGAAACUAGGUUCUUUUUUCUCAUUAAAAAAAAUCCUAAUGUGAUCUUUUUAAUUUUUUUGAUCUUGAAGGCGCUUUCAAAACUUGUGGCAGUCUGUGGUCCUUACCACCGAAUGACAGCAGGAGCAUAUAGCCUUUUGGCUGUGGUGCUCUAUCAUACUGGUGAUUUUAACCAGGUACAUGCCUUCAAAUAUUGUUUAUUAGAGCCAUGAUCAAUAGUUUUUUCUAGUGAUGGUUAUCCUGCUGGUAUCUUAAACUGAAUAGCAAGUACAUCAAUUAGCCUUUUCGGUAGAAAGUUUCCAAAUCUCACUUGACUAUUGUUUUUAUAGAUGGGUUAAAAAUCAUCUGUGCUUACUAGAUUUAUGGUUGGAGAGACUGCAUGUAAUGUAGAGUGGAUAAUUCAAAGUAGAGAAACGAAUGAUGCAAAGACACAAGUGGACAGGUUGUUCCUCAGUCUCGAGGAAUGUAAGACUCGUCCCUUUCUGAGUAGUAAAAUAACAAAAGUAAGAACCAUGAAUGUUUUAGUACUGGUAGGCAGGAUUUGGAAGGAUUAAAUUAGAUAAUGGAGAGAAAUUCUUAUAGUGAAUAAUUUUACUGGGUUGCUAAUUAAAAUUUUUAAAUGCUGGUAAGGAGAAGCAGGGGCAAUAUGAUUGUAUAAGGGGAAGCAGGUAUUUGAGAAGGUCAUGAACAAAGAAUAAUAGAUGAUAUAAAACAGGAGAAAAAAAUCACUAGGCAAAGAGA